RNAcentral lists this ribosomal RNA (406 nucleotides) under uncultured bacterium. Its description in RNAcentral is "partial 16S ribosomal RNA". It matches the Rfam family "Bacterial small subunit ribosomal RNA", at positions 30 to 526 of the family's 1533-position model. The record is from RNAcentral.
AUUGAACGCUGGCGGCAGGCCUAACACAUGCAAGUCGAACGAGUGGCGGACGGGUGAGGAAUACAUCGGAAUCUACUCUAUCUAGGGGGAUAACGUGGGGAACCUUUCGCUAAUACUGCAUACGAUUGUAUGGGCCGAUGUGGGAUUAGCUAGUGGGGGGGGUAUAGGCCCACCAAGGCGACGAUCCGUAGCUGGUCUGAGAGGAUGAUCGGCCACACUGGAACUGAGACACGGUCCAGACUCCUACGGGAGGCAGCAGUGGGGAAUAUUGGACAAUGGGCGCAAGCCUGAUCCAGCCAUGCCGCGUGGGUGAAGAAGGCUUUCGGGUUGUAAAGCCCUUUUGUUGGGGAAGCGGUACCCAAAGAAUAAGCACCGGCUAACUUCGUGCCAGCAGCCGCGGUAAUAC